Molecule: ribosomal RNA, 675 nt
Filed under: uncultured fungus
Lineage: Eukaryota; Fungi
Description: eukaryotic LSU rRNA
Rfam family: 5.8S ribosomal RNA (bases 226-379)
Source: RNAcentral
CUUGGUCAUUUAGAGGAAGUAAAAGUCGUAACAAGGUCUCCGUUGGUGAACCAGCGGAGGGAUCAUUAAAGAGUUGCAAAACUCCCAACCAUUGCUAAACAACCACUGUUUCUUCGGCGGGUGGCCGCAUGGCCGCGCGCACCCCUCUCGGGGGGGACGCACCCCGCCGGAGCACACCAAACUCUUGUCAUUAUUGAUGCUCUGAGUAAAAAACAAAAUUAUUACAACUUUCAACAAUGGAUCUCUUGGCUCUGGCAUCGAUGAAGAACGCAGCGAAAUGCGAUACGUAAUGUGAAUUGCAGAAUUCAGUGAAUCAUCGAAUCUUUGAACGCACAUUGCGCUCUCUGGUAUUCCGGAGAGCAUGCUUGUUUGAGUAUCAGUAAACACCUCAACUCCUUUAUUGUAGUUGGACUUGAGCUAUCCCAACAGGACUUUUGUUCCUGGCGGGAGGCUUGAAAUGCAGGUGCAGCUGGACUUUCUUCUGAGCUAUAAGCUAUUUAUUUAAUCCCUUAACACGGAUUAUUACUUUUUUGCUGCAGCUAACAUAAAGGUUGAAUUUCCAUUGAGCUGACUGAUGCAGGAAUUUGGCAAGGAAUUUUUUUAAUGACUUGUUAAACUCGAUCUCAAAUCAAGUAAGACUACCCGCUGAACUUAAGCAUAUCAAUAAGCGGAGGA